AAGAAGCCCUAGACUCGUUUCGUUAUCGUUCGAUUCCAUUUUUUGUUUUUCCCAUGCUCGAUUGCGCAUAAAUCAAAUCCCAAACUUUUCUUCUUAACCAAACAAGAUUUAGCUAGGUUUCGAUUAUUCUAGAACCGCAUGCUUUUUUACCCAAUUAUGCUCGAUUUGCUCUUUUGAAAACUCAAUGAGGUUUUGACCGGAUGAAUCAAUCAGUCGGGGGUUUAGGUGGUCAAGCUUCAUUAUCAGCCUUAUAAGCUUUAGGGUUUAAUUAACAAUGAC
Molecule: unclassified non-coding RNA, 279 nt
Filed under: Hevea brasiliensis (rubber tree)
Lineage: Eukaryota; Viridiplantae; Streptophyta; Magnoliopsida; Malpighiales; Euphorbiaceae
Source: RNAcentral